Termitomyces sp. 'cryptogamus' is the source of this 87-nucleotide non-coding RNA. Lineage: Eukaryota; Fungi; Basidiomycota; Agaricomycetes; Agaricales; Lyophyllaceae. The record is from the annotation of a GenBank genome assembly.
AAGUUGUCUAAUGGUUAUGACAUCAGACUUCUACCUUAGAGGGUUUCUGUUAUCUGGAGGUUGCAGGUUUGAGUCCUGCUAGGAGUU